CAGUCGCCGCGGUAAUACGAAGGGUGCAAGCGUUACUCGGAAUUACUGGGCGUAAAGCGUGCGUAGGUGGUGGUUUAAGUCCGUUGUGAAAGCCCUGGGCUCAACCUGGGAAUUGCAGUGGAUACUGGGUCACUAGAGUGUGGUAGAGGAUAGUGGAAUUUCCGGUGUAGCAGUGAAAUGCGUAGAGAUCGGAAGGAACAUCUGUGGCGAAGGCGACUAUCUGGGCCAACACUGACACUGAGGCACGAAAGCGUGGGGAGCAACAGGAUUAGAUACCCCAGUAGUCCCUGUCUCUUAUACA
RNAcentral lists this ribosomal RNA (301 nucleotides) under uncultured bacterium. RNAcentral's name for it is "partial 16S ribosomal RNA". It matches the Rfam family "Bacterial small subunit ribosomal RNA", at positions 509 to 808 of the family's 1533-position model. The record is from RNAcentral.